AGGACGAACGCUGGCGGCGUGCUUAACACAUGCAAGUCGAGCGGAGAAUAUAGCAAUAUAUCUUAGCGGCGGACGGGUGAGUAACGCGUGGGUAACCUGCCUUUUACUGGGGGAUAACACUGGGAAACUAGUGCUAAUACCGCAUAAAAUAGUGAAGUGGCAUCACUUUACUAUCAAAGGAGCAAUCCGGUAAAAGAUGGACCCGCGUCCGAUUAGCUAGUUGGAGGGGUAACGGCCCACCAAGGCGACGAUCGGUAGCCGAACUGAGAGGUUGAUCGGCCACAUUGGGACUGAGACACGGCCCAGACUCCUACGGGAGGCAGCAGUGGGGAAUAUUGCGCAAAUGGGGGAAACCCUGACGCAGCAACGCCGCGUGAAGGAUGAAGGUUUUCGGAUUGUAAACUUCUUUGAUUGGGGACGAUAAUGACGGUACCCAAAAAACAAGCCACGGCUAACUACGUGCCAGCAGCCGC
RNAcentral lists this ribosomal RNA (473 nucleotides) under uncultured bacterium. RNAcentral describes it as "bacterial SSU rRNA". It matches the Rfam family "Bacterial small subunit ribosomal RNA", at positions 26 to 518 of the family's 1533-position model. The record is from RNAcentral.